This 552-nucleotide ribosomal RNA is filed under the name uncultured archaeon. Its description in RNAcentral is "bacterial SSU rRNA". It matches the Rfam family "Archaeal small subunit ribosomal RNA", at positions 325 to 879 of the family's 1478-position model. The record is from RNAcentral.
ACGGGGUGCAGCAGGCGCGAAAACUUUGCAAUAAGCGAAAGCUUGACAGGGCUAUCCCGAGUGCCAUCCGCUGAGGAAGGCUUUUACCCAGUCUAGUAAGCUGGGGGAAUAAGGAGAGGGCAAGUCUGGUGUCAGCCGCCGCGGUAAUACCAGCUCUCCGAGUGGUGUGGAUGUUUAUUGGGCCUAAAGCAUCCGUAGCUGGCUGAGUUAGUCCCCUGUUAAAUCCACCGAAUCAAUCGUUGGAUUGCGGGGGAUACUGCCCGGCUAGGGGACGGGAGAGGCAGACGGUAUUUUCGGGGUAGGGGUGAAAUCCUAUAAUCCCGGGAAGACCACCAGUGGCGAAGGCUGUCUGCUAGAACGCGCCCGACGGUGAGGGAUGAAAGCUGGGGUAGCGAACCGGAUUAGAUACCCGGGUAGCCCCAGCCGUAAACGAUGCAGGCUAGGUGUUUGGGCGGCCACGUGCCGCUCUAGUGCCGCAGGGAAGCUGUUAAGCCUGCCGCCUGGGGAGUACGAUCGCAAGAUUGAAACUUAAAGGAAUUGGCGGGGGAGCAC